Molecule: ribosomal RNA, 468 nt
Filed under: uncultured bacterium
Lineage: Bacteria
Description: partial 16S ribosomal RNA
Rfam family: Bacterial small subunit ribosomal RNA
Source: RNAcentral
GACGAACGCUGGCGGCGUGCUUAACACAUGCAAGUCGAACGGAAAGGCCCUGCUUUUGUGGGGUGCUCGAGUGGCGAACGGGUGAGUAACACGUGAGUAACCUGCCCUUGACUUUGGGAUAACUUCAGGAAACUGGGGCUAAUAUCGGAUAGGAUCUCCUGCUGCAUGGUGGGGGUUGGAUAGUUUCGGCGGUUGGGGAUGGACUCGCGGCUUAUCAGCUUGUUGGUGGGGUAGUGGCUUACCAAGGCUUUGACGGGUAGCCGGCCUGAGAGGGUGACCGGCCACAUUGGGACUGAGAUACGGCCCAGACUCCUACGGGAGGCAGCAGUGGGGAAUAUUGCACAAUGGGCGGAAGCCUGAUGCAGCAACGCCGCGUGCGGGAUGACGGCCUUCGGGUUGUAAACCGCUUUCGCCUGUGACGAAGCGUGAGUGACGGUAAUGGGUAAAGAAGCACCGGCUAACUACGUG